Non-coding RNA from Coffea arabica (coffee), 604 nucleotides. NCBI's taxonomy places the organism in Eukaryota, Viridiplantae, Streptophyta, Magnoliopsida, Gentianales, Rubiaceae. The record is from RefSeq and is a predicted model, not a curated record.
AAAAAAAAAAAAAAUCCUGCGCACUGCGCAGUAGUGUAUAUAACGUAAAACCUGGAGCCAAGAGAGAAUCCAAACUUUCCAUUUUCAAGCCAAGUUUUCCGCCAGAGACUCGCCGGUGACCUGUCACCGACGAUCCUCCGCAUCAUUUCCCAAAGAUUUUGUUUUAGCUCCCGAGAUUACGUCGAGAAGCAACAACCUAAAUGCAUAGCAUAUAUUCAUCCGUCUUCAUUCAUUUGAUUUGAUCUCAUCGUUCAAAUAUCGGAACCAUCUCUUUUUCCCUUCCCUCUCAUCCCUCAAGUUUCAACGCCCAAGUAUUCACAGAGUCUCCUCGGAUAGAUAGUUGUUUUAAGCUCGUUGUUGGGUGAAUAUUCUGUUCACCAUGUCGGUUGGGGUUCACAAUACCCCAACCAACAUGGUGAAGAGAAGAGUGGUGGGUGAAGAGGAGUAAAAGGGGGUAGAAAUCAAGGAGCAGCGAAGCAACAGCAGAGGAAGAAAGGGGAGGGGAGGGGAAAGGAAAGAAAGUAGCAGUACAAGCGUGGUCUGAAGGGAUGGCAUAGGAGAGUCGCUUUCAAAACGAGAAGAGUAGCCUAGGAGAAGGGUAGCA